ACGAACGCUGGCGGCGUGCUUAACACAUGCAAGUCGAGCGGUAAGGCCCUUCGGGGGUACGACGAGCGGCGAACGGGUGAGUAACACGUGGGUGACCUGCCCUCAGCUCUGGGAUAAGCCUGGGAAACUGGGUCUAAUACCGGAUAUGACUCCAUGACGCAUGUUGUGGGGUGGAAAGCCUUGUGCGGCUGAGGAUGGGCCCGCGGCCUAUCAGCUUGUUGGUGGGGUGANGGCCUACCAAGGCGACGACGGGUAGCCGGCCUGAGAGGGCGACCGGCCACACUGGGACUGAGACACGGCCCAGACUCCUACGGGAGGCAGCAGUGGGGAAUCUUGCGCAAUGGGCGAAAGCCUGACGCAGCGACGCCGCGUGAGGGAUGACGGCCU
This 387-nucleotide ribosomal RNA is filed under the name uncultured bacterium. RNAcentral's name for it is "bacterial SSU rRNA". It matches the Rfam family "Bacterial small subunit ribosomal RNA", at positions 29 to 417 of the family's 1533-position model. The record is from RNAcentral.